CCAUGGAGCUUUACUGUAGCUUGACAUUGGGUCUUGGUACUACAUGUACAGGAUAGGUGGGAGGCUUUGAAACCAGGACGCCAGUUUUGGCGGAGCCAUCCUUGGGAUACCACCCUUGUAGUACUGGGACUCUAACCAUAGGCCAUGAAUCUGGUCUUGGGACACUGUCAGGUGGGCAGUUUGACUGGGGCGGUCGCCUCCCAAAAGGUAACGGAGGCGCUCAAAGGUUCUCUCAGUACGGUCGGAAAUCGUACGUAGAGUGUAAAGGCAAAAGAGAGCUUGAUUGCAAGACAUACAGGUCGAGCAAGGAUGAAAAUCGGACUUAGUGAUCCGGUGGUUCUGCGUGGAAGGGCCAUCGCUCAACGGAUAAAAGCUACCCUGGGGAUAACAGGCUUAUCUCCCCCAAGAGUCCACAUCGACGGGGAGGUUUGGCACCUCGAUGUCGGCUCAUCACAUCCUGGGGCUGUAGUAGGUCCCAAGGGUUGGGCUGUUCGCCCAUUAAAGUGGUACGCGAGCUGGGUUCAGAACGUCGUGAGACAGUUCGGUCCCUAUCCGUCGCAGGCGUAGGAAAUUUGAGAAGACCUGUCCUUAGUACGAGAGGACCGGGAUGGACGUACCUCUGGUGUACCAGUUGUUCUGCCAAGGGCAUGGCUGGGUAGCUAUGUACGGAAUGGAUAAGCGCUGAAAGC
RNAcentral lists this ribosomal RNA (689 nucleotides) under Clostridioides difficile. RNAcentral's name for it is "partial 23S ribosomal RNA". It matches the Rfam family "Bacterial large subunit ribosomal RNA", at positions 2091 to 2778 of the family's 2925-position model. Lineage: Bacteria; Bacillati; Bacillota; Clostridia; Peptostreptococcales; Peptostreptococcaceae. The record is from RNAcentral.